GGGUUUGCCACUUGGCUGGACGGCUGGUGCGAGCUCUAAGAGACCAGAAAUCUAAGGCCCUCAAAGACGUUGAUAUUACUCCUGUAGAUGAACUGUGCGUAGAAGUGGCAGGAUUGUGUCAUGAUCUCGGUCAUGGGCCAUUUUCACAUCUCUUUGACAAAAAGAUAAUUCCUGCAUUACGACUCGAUAAAAAAGGGGAAGGAAAAAUGGGAGCAUGAAAAAGGAUCCGUAGAUAUGUUUAGUUACAUGUUAGAAGCAAACGAUGGCCUUCAGGAGGAAUUUGAAAAACAAAGAAUCACAUCUAAAGACCGAACAUUCAUAGAGGAACUAAUCGUAACAUAUAAACCAGAGGAGGUAACGUUUAUCUGCUAGUAUAUGAUAUAAAACUGUCAUGCCAGUAUAAAAAUGUAGCAAUUGAGCCAAUGACCCUCAAACUUGGUAUGGAGAUUGGCUAUGACUAGUAUAAUUAUGGCCCACAGGUCAGAAGGGACUGUUACAAGAAAAUAUUUAUCCUGAUGAUAUUUAAAGUGUAUGUGUAUGUGAUCUGUGUCAAAACUUGAUCUUAUCAUUUAGAGCAAUCAAUGGUAUUCAGGUGAGAGAUAUAAGGCCCUAAUGGCCCUCUUGUGUUCACUUACAAUGUUUUUAUUUUAAUUACUGCCCUUUUAUGUUACUAUAAAUAGCUUAUUUAGUACCUUCUUGUCCUUAAGUGCAAUGAUAACAGGUGAGCGAUAUAGGGCCAGUAUGGCCCUCUUGUCUUAUUUGUUUGGAGUUGACGGCUCUGGGAACGGUCUUGCCUAACACACGCGUAGAAAAAAAAAUACAAAAAAUAGCUUCCGAUAUGUUUUAGUUAGAAUAAGUCGAGAAUCGAACCCCCGACCACCGCGGCAAUAGACAUUUCCCCGUCGUCGUAAACUAUAGCGCUAUAGCGCAUUAGUGAAUUAGGAUUUCAAAAUAUUGAUAUUGGAAAUAUGCUAAAGCAGCACGUGCGUAACACAGUAACAAUUUUCGGCGAAUGCCGUAUUAAGAACGAAUUCGUGACCGUGCCACAUGAUUUCAGUUUGCAAAUCAGACUACUUGAUAACGCAUUAUAGAUAAUUUAUCAAAAUGAACGAUUUAUGCAACACUCUUCCUGACUGGACGAGAGUGUCUAUUUGUUUCACUCUGCUGAUAGUGCUACGCUGGGUGAAAUGUAGACAAAGCAUUUAUGCUUAAUGACGCUGUUCACAGUUUUAAAGGUAAGUUUCGCUCAGUAUAUUUAGCAAGAAUAUCGAUAUCG
Mercenaria mercenaria is the source of this 1276-nucleotide long non-coding RNA. RefSeq lists it as uncharacterized. The transcript has 3 exons. Lineage: Eukaryota; Metazoa; Mollusca; Bivalvia; Venerida; Veneridae. The record is from RefSeq and is a predicted model, not a curated record.